CACGUAGGGGCCAAGCGUUGUCCGGAUUUAUUGGGCGUAAAGCGCGCGUAGGCGGUCCGUUAAGUCGGAUGUGAAAAUCCGGGGCUCAACCCCGGACCUGCAUCCGAUACUGGCGGGCUGGAGGCAGGUAGGGGAGAUCGGAAUUCCUGGUGUAGCGGUGAAAUGCGCAGAUAUCAGGAGGAACACCGGUGGCGAAGGCGGAUCUCUGGGCCUGUCCUGACGCUCAGGCGCGAAAGCUAGGGGAGCAAACAGG
This 253-nucleotide ribosomal RNA is filed under the name uncultured bacterium. RNAcentral describes it as "partial 16S ribosomal RNA". It matches the Rfam family "Bacterial small subunit ribosomal RNA", at positions 524 to 776 of the family's 1533-position model. The record is from RNAcentral.